This is a long non-coding RNA of Numida meleagris (helmeted guineafowl), 331 nucleotides long. RefSeq lists it as uncharacterized. The transcript is spliced from 2 exons. NCBI's taxonomy places the organism in Eukaryota, Metazoa, Chordata, Aves, Galliformes, Numididae. The record is from RefSeq and is a predicted model, not a curated record.
GUGACAUCGCCUUUCUCUCUGUCCCCGCAGGGUGCUGAGCCGUGGGGAUGCAGCCAGGGACAGGAUCAGUGCCGGGACCCUGAUUGGAGCAGAGCGCGGUGAAUGGCAGCCCCAGAGGGACGCGCUUGGACCAUGGAGCUGCACCGCGUGACCCAGGUGAUGCUGGAGGUGCUGGCGUGCGUCGUCCUGGCCUACCACCUGUCCGAGGCCAACGUCUUCUUCUUCUACCUGCUGCUGCUCCUGCCCCUCAUCUUCCUCUUUGAGGAGAGCGUCGAGCCAUGAGGAUGCCCGUGGUCCCUCUCUCGCUGUGCAGUAAAGAGCCGUGCCCACC